AGAGUGUUUGGGAGAUUGGUUUACAAAUUGAAGGUGUGAGUUUCACCAAAAGUGGAACAAUGAAUGCAUUGGAUAUUUUCUUCAACGAUGAUAAAGGGAAGGUUCUAAGGCAAAAUGUUGUAGGGCUAAAAGCAAGAGCACUAGCAGCUGUGAAACCAGAAAAUGGAAGUUCAACACAAAAUUUCAAAGCUCUAGCAGAUCUAGUUAAACGUCACAAGCUCGCUUGAUUGUUAUUAAUACGUUAUAAUUGCAAUAUGCAACUAUGUAUUAUCAGCUGGAACUUUUUUUUGUUUUUGUAGAUAGGAAUAGUAUUUUACUGUAAAAUACUAUUCUUCGUUUUUACCCCUUCCUAGGAGCUCCCCUCCCUAUCAGAUGAAACUUGCUAAGUUUAUUGUCGGAUAAUGCUCUUGGUUUUAGUAAGAUUAAUGUUGGUCGAAAUUAUAAUUUGGUCCGUAGUAUUUGACAUAUAAAUGAGUAAAUACAUAAUUGCACCCCUGAUCUUGUCCGAAAUUUUCAAAAAGACACCUAAACUUUAACUUCGACCUAUUAUUCCACGAUUCUUCUUUAUUUCGUUGCAAAUACACUAUUUUUCGCUGAAUCUCAAUCACAAUAAAGAGAAUGAAUGCACGCACCAAUCAAGUGCUGCCACGUGUCAAAUAUUUUUAAUUUCAUAUUUUAUUUAUUUUUUUAAUAAGUUUUUUCCUUUUUAUUUAAUUUAUCACCUCCCUUCCUCCACCCCACCCCGCAUACAACAGCUCCCCCCACGCGUCCAGGUCAACAGCUCCCCCCACCCCACCCCAUUCCCUGCGUCCAGUUUCCUCCAUUAAAAUGACACUUAAAACUCCUGUACAAUCUCCAUUUUAAUGGAGCUUUCAACUCCAUUUAGUUAUGGUGAUAAAGAAGAAGUUGGGGAAGAAGACAAUAGUGGAUGAGUGGGGUUGCGGGGGUGGGUAUGAGUGAGUGGAGGGUUAUGAAAUAAUUUUAAAAAAUAAAUAAAUAUUAAUUUAAAAAAAAAUAUAUAAAUUGUAUAUUAAAUUAUUUACACGUGGCAACUUCUAAUUGGUCAAAAAAGUUAAUUUUUGCCUUUUCACGCGCUUGUGGCACGUGUAUACACGCAGAGGGUCAAAAUAAUAUAUUUGCAACGGAAUAAAAAAGGUUCGUUGGGUAAUAGGUCGAAGUUAAAGUUUCGGUGUCUUUUUGAAAAUUUUGGACAACAUCAGGAGUGUAAUUAUAUAUUUACUCUAUAUAAAUUUUAGUUUACAUAGUAUGAUAUGUUUAAGUGACUGACUCCAUGUUUACAUAAAUUCCUAGAUGUUUAUCCCUAGUUACACCUUAUCCCAACAUUUAAUAAAAUUUCAUAAAAUUUCGAAUUUUUGGUUUUCCGAUAGACUUAUUAACAAGAGAUACGUCUUGUUGGAUACAUCAAUUAAAACAACUAUAGCGUGCUAAAAGGAAAAUAACGAAAAUUGAGGAGGAAAUCUCGCUUCAUAACUUUAAAAUUAGUGUCAAAAUCUCCAAAAAAAAAAAAAUUAUAAUUAAUUAUAAUGUUUAUAUUAAAAAAAAAGGGACCUUAUUCAUCUUGUACGUUGAAACAUUCUUCUCCUCUCUUUGAAAUACAAAAGAAUAUUACCCCCUCGUCUUUUAGAAUUUCUUUAAAAUCUUCUAGAAUUUUAGCGUCGCAAGAAUUGUCAAACGUUAACGGAUGUGGUGGAACUUCUUUGCAAUGUAAUGCAUAUCCUGUACUGAGAUACAUAAAAAAUAGUGUAGUUAGUAAUCGACUUGAUUAUUAGUCAUAUUAACUGAGAUAGAUUCAUUUUUUAAAGUUAUUAGGUGGAGAUAAAUAAUUCUAUUCAAUAUUAAAGAAAGAUACAUAAUUAAAAGGGAUAAUACUCACAAAAAUAUGUGAAUUUUGAUCAAAUUUUCAGUUGAGCAUACUGAACUUUGUGGGGGUCCUAUUACCCCCCUAGAUUUUUUUUUCGUAUUUUAAUGGCAUAUAUCUGCCCACUUGGACACAUGUAAAUAUGAGGUUGGCGCGUGUAAUACAUGUGUAAAAACGAUAUUUGGCGCGUAUAUUAUAUCGCCAGCCAUCGAAACUGGGUAUAAAAUUUCGGGGNNNNNNNNNNNNNNNNNNNNNNNNNNNNNNNNNNNNNNNNNNNNNNNNNNNNNNNNNNNNNNNNNNNNNNNNNNNNNNNNNNNNNNNNNNNNNNNNNNNNNNNNNNNNNNNNNNNNNNNNNNNNNNNNNNGGGGGGGGGGGGAGGGGGACAAUUAAAUCCACUUUAAAAAGUCUAGGGGGUAAUAUGACCCCCAUAAAGUUCAAUACACUCAAUUGAAAAUCUGGUUAAAGUUCAGGUAUUUUUGUGAGUGUUAUCCCUAAUUAAAAUUAUGUUUCAUGCAUGAAAUGUUACUUAUGUAUCUCAACAUUAAAAUUUAUUACCGAGAUACAUAUAUUUUUUAAUUUAUUUGACCGAUAUACAGAAUACAGUAACUAGACUGAAGAGAGAUACACAAUGAAAAUUAUGUCUCAUGCCUGAAAAUGAUGUCAUUUAUAUAUCUCAAUAGUAAAAAUUAUAUAUCUGACGAUUUUUUUUAAUUCUAUACAUGUAUAAUACCUUUUGGAGUGUCUCUUUUGAUUUUUUCAACAAUUUUGCAUUUUGAAAGACCAACCUUCCCUUUUAAAGAAGCAGAACUCCGUUUCUUCUUUGAUUUAACACCAUCGAUGAUAAAUCAUUUGUCAAGAAUUUUUUUCGUAAAUUUUAAUGAGAAAACGUUUGAUUUAACAUCAUCAAUGACAACAUCGGGAGCUAAAUUAAUUUCCGUAAUUGAUGAUGUUGGUGGCAUCAACGAUAAAUUAUUUUCUUGGAAAAUGAAGAAAAAAGGUCAAAAAAUUCUCCUCACAAAUUUCAAUAAUAAAUCGUUUGAUUUUAACAACAUCAAUGAUAAAUCAUUUUCUUGACAAAGGAAAAAAGAAAAGCUAAGAAAUUUCUCCAACAAAUUUUAAAUCUAAAGGAGAAAUUGAAGAUGAAAGAAAGAGCAGAAGAAAAAAACGAAUCUUUAUGGGAAAAAGAAGGGUG
This 3071-nucleotide long non-coding RNA is filed under the name Capsicum annuum. RNAcentral describes it as "long non-coding RNA (CANN_LNC016475)". Lineage: Eukaryota; Viridiplantae; Streptophyta; Magnoliopsida; Solanales; Solanaceae. The record is from RNAcentral.